GACGAACGCUGGCGGCGUGCUUAACACAUGCAAGUCGAACGGAAAGGCCCUGCUUUUGUGGGGUGCUCGAGUGGCGAACGGGUGAGUAACACGUGAGUAACCUGCCCUUGACUUUGGGAUAACUUCAGGAAACUGGGGUUAAUACCGGACAGGAUCUCCUGCUGCAUGGUGGGGGUUGGAAAGUUUCGGCGGUUGGGGUUGGACGCGCGGCUUACCAGCUUGCUGGUGGGGUAGUGGCUUACCAAGGCUUUGACGGGUAGCCGGCCUGAGAGGGUGACCGGCCACAUUGGGACUGAGAGACGGCCCAGACUCCUACGGGAGGCAGCAGUGGGGAGUAUUGCACAAUGGGCGGGAGCCUGAUGCAGCAACGCCGCGUGCGGGAUGACGGCCUUCGGGGUGUAAACCGCUUUCGCCUGUGACGAAGCGUGAGUGACGGUAAUGGGUAAAGAAGCACCGGCUAACUACGUG
Molecule: ribosomal RNA, 468 nt
Filed under: uncultured bacterium
Lineage: Bacteria
Description: partial 16S ribosomal RNA
Rfam family: Bacterial small subunit ribosomal RNA
Source: RNAcentral